GACGAACCAUGCAAACGUUAUUCGGAUUUACUGGGCGUAAAGCGCACGUAGGCGGAUUGUCAAGUCAGGGGUGAAAUCCUGGAGCUCAACUCCAGAACUGCCUUUGAUACUGGCAAUCUCGAGUCCGGAAGAGGUAAGUGGAACUCCUAGUGUAGAGGUGGAAUUCGUAGAUAUUAGGAAGAACACCAGUGGCGAAGGCGGCUUACUGGUCCGGUACUGACGCUGAGGUGCGAAAGCGUGGGGAGCAAACAGG
This 253-nucleotide ribosomal RNA is filed under the name uncultured bacterium. RNAcentral's name for it is "partial 16S ribosomal RNA". It matches the Rfam family "Bacterial small subunit ribosomal RNA", at positions 524 to 776 of the family's 1533-position model. The record is from RNAcentral.